RNAcentral lists this ribosomal RNA (869 nucleotides) under uncultured fungus. Its description in RNAcentral is "eukaryotic LSU rRNA". The stretch from base 491 to 869 matches the Rfam family "Eukaryotic large subunit ribosomal RNA", at positions 1 to 377 of the family's 3401-position model. Lineage: Eukaryota; Fungi. The record is from RNAcentral.
GGUGACCUGCGGAGGGAUCAUUACAGAGAACAUCGCCCUCACGGGUGACUCUCCAACCCUAUGUUAUUAAAACCUUUGUUGCUUUGGCGAGCCGCUUCGGCCACCGGCCUCUGCUGGUGUGCGCUCGCCAGAGGACCCCAAACUCUGUUUAUUAGUGUCGUCUGAGUACUAUAUAAUAGUUAAAACUUUCAACAACGGAUCUCUUGGUUCUGGCAUCGAUGAAGAACGCAGCGAAAUGCGAUAAGUAAUGUGAAUUGCAGAAUUCAGUGAAUCAUCGAAUCUUUGAACGCACAUUGCGCCCCGUGGUAUUCCGCGGGGCAUGCCUGUUCGAGCGUCAGUACAACACUCAAGCUCUGCUUGGUAUUGGACCCCACCGGUAACACGGUCGGUCUUAAAAUCAGUGGCGGCGCCACCUGGCUCUAAGCGUAGUAAUACUCCUCGCUACAGAGUCCCGGUGGAUGUUUGCCAGCAACCCCCAACUUUCUAAGUUUGACCUCGGAUCAGGUAGGGAUACCCGCUGAACUUAAGCAUAUCAAUAAGCGGAGGAAAAGAAACCAACAGGGAUUGCCUCAGUAACGGCGAGUGAAGCGGCAACAGCUCAAAUUUGAAAUCUGGGUCUUUCAGGCUCCGAGUUGUAAUUUGUAGAAGAUGCUUCGGGUGUGGCUCCGGUCUAAGUUCCUUGGAAACAGGACGUCAUAGAGGGUGAGAAUCCCGUACGUGACUGGUUGCCUUCGCUCAUGUGAAGCUCUUUCGACGAGUCGAGUUGUUUGGGAAUGCAGCUCAAAAUGGGUGGUAAAUUUCAUCUAAAGCUAAAUAUUGNNAGAGACCGAUAGCGCACAAGUAGAGUGAUCGAAAGAUGAAAGCACUUU